GGGGAUGACGUCAAGUCAUCAUGGCCCUUACGACCAGGGCUACACACGUGCUACAAUGGCGCAUACAAAGAGAAGCGACCUCGCGAGAGCAAGCGGACCUCAUAAAGUGCGUCGUAGUCCGGAUUGGAGUCUGCAACUCGACUCCAUGAAGUCGGAAUCGCUAGUAAUCGUGGAUCAGAAUGCCACGGUGAAUACGUUCCCGGGCCUUGUAC
This 212-nucleotide ribosomal RNA is filed under the name Cronobacter dublinensis subsp. lactaridi. Its description in RNAcentral is "partial 16S ribosomal RNA". It matches the Rfam family "Bacterial small subunit ribosomal RNA", at positions 1175 to 1386 of the family's 1533-position model. Lineage: Bacteria; Pseudomonadati; Pseudomonadota; Gammaproteobacteria; Enterobacterales; Enterobacteriaceae. The record is from RNAcentral.